RNAcentral lists this ribosomal RNA (1376 nucleotides) under Bifidobacterium pseudocatenulatum. RNAcentral's name for it is "bacterial SSU rRNA". It matches the Rfam family "Bacterial small subunit ribosomal RNA". The record is from RNAcentral. Lineage: Bacteria; Bacillati; Actinomycetota; Actinomycetes; Bifidobacteriales; Bifidobacteriaceae.
GUCGAACGGGAUCCAUCAGGCUUUGCUUGGUGGUGAGAGUGGCGAACGGGUGAGUAAUGCGUGACCGACCUGCCCCAUACACCGGAAUAGCUCCUGGAAACGGGUGGUAAUGCCGGAUGCUCCGACUCCUCGCAUGGGGUGUCGGGAAAGAUUUCAUCGGUAUGGGAUGGGGUCGCGUCCUAUCAGGUAGUCGGCGGGGUAACGGCCCACCGAGCCUACGACGGGUAGCCGGCCUGAGAGGGCGACCGGCCACAUUGGGACUGAGAUACGGCCCAGACUCCUACGGGAGGCAGCAGUGGGGAAUAUUGCACAAUGGGCGCAAGCCUGAUGCAGCGACGCCGCGUGCGGGAUGACGGCCUUCGGGUUGUAAACCGCUUUUGAUCGGGAGCAAGCCUUCGGGUGAGUGUACCUUUCGAAUAAGCACCGGCUAACUACGUGCCAGCAGCCGCGGUAAUACGUAGGGUGCAAGCGUUAUCCGGAAUUAUUGGGCGUAAAGGGCUCGUAGGCGGUUCGUCGCGUCCGGUGUGAAAGUCCAUCGCUUAACGGUGGAUCUGCGCCGGGUACGGGCGGGCUGGAGUGCGGUAGGGGAGACUGGAAUUCCCGGUGUAACGGUGGAAUGUGUAGAUAUCGGGAAGAACACCAAUGGCGAAGGCAGGUCUCUGGGCCGUUACUGACGCUGAGGAGCGAAAGCGUGGGGAGCGAACAGGAUUAGAUACCCUGGUAGUCCACGCCGUAAACGGUGGAUGCUGGAUGUGGGGCCCGUUCCACGGGUUCCGUGUCGGAGCUAACGCGUUAAGCAUCCCGCCUGGGGAGUACGGCCGCAAGGCUAAAACUCAAAGAAAUUGACGGGGGCCCGCACAAGCGGCGGAGCAUGCGGAUUAAUUCGAUGCAACGCGAAGAACCUUACCUGGGCUUGACAUGUUCCCGACAGCCGUAGAGAUAUGGCCUCCCUUCGGGGCGGGUUCACAGGUGGUGCAUGGUCGUCGUCAGCUCGUGUCGUGAGAUGUUGGGUUAAGUCCCGCAACGAGCGCAACCCUCGCCCUGUGUUGCCAGCACGUCAUGGUGGGAACUCACGGGGGACCGCCGGGGUCAACUCGGAGGAAGGUGGGGAUGACGUCAGAUCAUCAUGCCCCUUACGUCCAGGGCUUCACGCAUGCUACAAUGGCCGGUACAACGGGAUGCGACACGGCGACGUGGAGCGGAUCCCUGAAAACCGGUCUCAGUUCGGAUUGGAGUCUGCAACCCGACUCCAUGAAGGCGGAGUCGCUAGUAAUCGCGGAUCAGCAACGCCGCGGUGAAUGCGUUCCCGGGCCUUGUACACACCGCCCGUCAAGUCAUGAAAGUGGGUAGCACCCGAAGCCGGUGGCCUAACCCUU